Molecule: non-coding RNA, 149 nt
Organism: Leptonychotes weddellii (Weddell seal)
Lineage: Eukaryota; Metazoa; Chordata; Mammalia; Carnivora; Phocidae
Source: RefSeq, a predicted model, not a curated record
CAGGAAGACUCAAUUAUACUGGACAUAAAGAGCUUCUUGAAAGGGCAUGAAAAACACAACACUGGAUGUAUGCCUGGGGACAGAAGUGACAGGCAGGAGGGGGAAAUAAAGAAGAAGACAGGAAAGACAGCAGCUUCAUAUCAGUGACG